UUCAUCAUCAGAAAAGCUGAUCCGAUUGACCUUAAAGAUUUUUCCAACCAUUUUCUCAAGCUGGUUGAUUGUAAUCUCCCUUGGAACAUAUGCUUCAUUUAAUACCUUCAGUAAAAUAUCACGAUGCUCCUUGGAGUGCAACAACAAAGAUAAAAGGGAAAUUUGAGCAGGGGUUUUCUUCAACUGGUCUAUUAUUGAAUACUCUGGCAAUUUCAUCUUUUUCAAAAAUUCU
This 232-nucleotide long non-coding RNA is filed under the name Capsicum annuum. RNAcentral describes it as "long non-coding RNA (CANN_LNC007082)". The record is from RNAcentral. Lineage: Eukaryota; Viridiplantae; Streptophyta; Magnoliopsida; Solanales; Solanaceae.